AAUAGAUACCCGGGUAGUCCUAGCCGUAAACGAUGAGCACUUGAUUGAGGGCCCCCCCAUAGGCUCUCGAUCGCAGCGAAAGUGUUAAGUGCUCCGCCUGGGGAGUAUGGUCGCAAGGCUGAAACUCGAAAGGAAUUGACGGGGGCUCACACAAGCGGUGGAGGAUGUGGCUUAAUUCGAGGCUACGCGAAGAACCUUAUCCAGGCCUUGACAUGUACGGAUGCUGCCCGUGAAAGCGGGUUAGUUGCCUUCGGGUGAAACGUGCACAGGUGCUGCAUGGCUGUCGUCAGCUCGUGUCGUGAGAUGUCGGGUUAAGUCCCUUAACGAGCGAAACCCUUGUCCUUAGUUGCCAGCGAGUCAUGUCGGGAACUCUAAGGAGACUGCCGGCGUUAAGCCGGAGGAAGGUGGGGAUGACGUCAAGUCCUCAUGGCCUUUAUGGUCUGGGGCUGCACACGUCCUACAAUGGCAUAUACAAAGGGAUGCUACCUCGCGAGAGCAAGCAAAUCCCAAAAAGUAUGCCCCAGUUCG
This 528-nucleotide ribosomal RNA is filed under the name uncultured bacterium. Its description in RNAcentral is "bacterial SSU rRNA". It matches the Rfam family "Bacterial small subunit ribosomal RNA", at positions 777 to 1295 of the family's 1533-position model. The record is from RNAcentral.